UACGUAGGGGGCAAGCGUUGUCCGGAAUGACUGGGCGUAAAGGGAGUGUAGGCGGCCAAUUAAGUUAGAUGUGAAAUCCCACGGCUUAACCGUGGAACUGCAUCUAAAACUGGAUGGCUGGAGUGCAGGAGAGGUGAGCGGAAUUCCUAGUGUAGCGGUGGAAUGCGUAGAUAUUAGGAGGAACACCAGAGGCGAAGGCGGCUCACUGGACUGUAACUGACGCUGAGGCUCGAAAGCGUGGGGAGCAAACAGG
This 253-nucleotide ribosomal RNA is filed under the name uncultured Eubacteriales bacterium. RNAcentral describes it as "uncultured Clostridiales bacterium partial 16S ribosomal RNA". It matches the Rfam family "Bacterial small subunit ribosomal RNA", at positions 524 to 776 of the family's 1533-position model. The record is from RNAcentral. Lineage: Bacteria; Bacillati; Bacillota; Clostridia; Eubacteriales.